Molecule: RNA transcript, 1213 nt
Organism: Sarcophilus harrisii (Tasmanian devil)
Lineage: Eukaryota; Metazoa; Chordata; Mammalia; Dasyuromorphia; Dasyuridae
Gene name: zinc finger CCHC-type and RNA-binding motif-containing protein 1 pseudogene
Exons: 1
Source: RefSeq, a predicted model, not a curated record
AGCUAUCUAGAUUAGUGAGAGGAAAUGAGUGGUGGAUUAGCACCAAGUAAAAGCACCGUGUAUGUAUCCAACUUGCCUUUUUGUCUGACAAACAAUGACUUAUACAGGAUAUUUUCCAAAUAUGGAAAAGUUGUAAAAGUUACUAUUAUGAAAGAUAAGGAUACCAGGAAGAGUAAAGGUGUUGCAUUUAUUUUGUUUUUGGAUAAAGAAUCGGCACAAAAUUGUUCGAGGGCACUAAACAAUAAGCAGUUAUUUGGGAGAGUGAUAAAAGCAAGCAUUGCUAUUGACAAUGGAAGAGCUGCUGAGUUCAUCCGAAGGCGCAACUACUUUGAUAAAUCUAGAUGUUAUGAAUGUGGAGAAACAGGUCACCUAAGUUAUGCUUGCCCUAAAAAUGUGCUUGGAGAACGUGAACCACCAAAAAAGAAAGAAAAGAAAAAAAGAAAGAAAAUUAUUGAACUGAAAGAAGAAAUUGAAGAAGCGGAAGAAAGUGAAGAUGAAGGAGAAGACCCUGCUCUUGAGAGCCUCAGCCAAGCCAUAGCUUUCCAGCAAGCCAAAAUUGAAGACCAACAAAGAUGGAAGCCCAGUGCAGGGGAACCUUCAAAAUCAAAUGAUUCAAGACGCCCAAGGAUAAAGAAAAGUGCAUAUUUCAGUGAUGAGGAAGAGCUUAGUGAUUGAAAUUGAUGUAUUAUAUAUACAUCACUAAAAUACAAAAAUUUUAAAGCACAGUUAAAUGGUGUUAAAAUUACCAUUGGAAUUUUGAAUAUAAGGAAACAUGUAACUAAUAUUUUAUACCUUAUAACUACAAUUACAAAGUUUACUUUCAUAGGAAACCAAAAACUUAUUUAGAAGUAUCAUGUUUCUAAAUUUAUUUUAGUAGAGCAAUAAAAAUCCAAUUUUGCUUCUAAAACUGUUACUCUUCUAAAAGCAUAUGUAAAUGCAACCUAACCAGUUGCAUUCAAUAAUAAGAAAACGAAUUGCUAAAUAUUGUCAUGUCGCCACUAUAGACUUGCUUUAAAGAAGUUAAGUAUUUUUAAGAAGCUAUUAAAAAGUUAAAGCUUUCUUCAUGUUUCACAUGUCAACGUGAGCAUUUUUCAAAUCUAAUUUUAAACAAAAGCUUCCUAAGAAUUAAAGAAAGUCAGUGACUUAAUUGUAUUUAGAAAUGUUCUUUACUAACGUUCCCCAAAGAAUUUUUAAAAAGAUGAAUGGCAGGAGU